AACUCCCAGCCAGAGUUUGUGUGGCUCUUCGCAAGUGCUCCGGCUGAUUUGUGACACCUACGAGACUUAAGUGUAUCGAGACGAAUAUAUUGACAGUUAUGCCCCAUACCAACUGGAUGCUGGGGAAGCUUUUCAGAGGCAACGAUUGACCAAGUAUAGAUAGGUCCCACUGCCUAUGCGUAAUAACCCUCAGCUGGAAUAUGUGACGUGGACCUAUUUACGUCCAGGGGCAUAAAGUCGCGUUAUGUAAAUUGAGAAUGUUGUUUGAUAAGCACAAGCAGCCAAAUAUGAAAUUGUCUCUGUUUUGAUGUUAAUUCACAUAUGAUAAGACUGCAUUUCCUCACCAUUCGGGCAGACAAGCAUGAGACUAAAUCUAUAAGCAGGCAUGAUGCACACCUAUUUUUGGAUGGUUACGCUUCCAACUGCCUCAUCCUAGAGGGUAUUGGAAGACAUCUGCGAUUCCAUGAAAUACAAAUACCUAUAUAUAUAUAUAUAUAUAUAGAUGUAAAAAAUCUCAUAACUCAUCAGUCUGAUUUUACAAGUUGGUAAAUUGAAUAAAUAUUUUUCUGUUUGACUUUAAAAAUCAA
Molecule: long non-coding RNA, 587 nt
Organism: Drosophila mojavensis
Lineage: Eukaryota; Metazoa; Arthropoda; Insecta; Diptera; Drosophilidae
Exons: 2
Source: RefSeq, a predicted model, not a curated record